Molecule: long non-coding RNA, 3538 nt
Organism: Oryzias latipes (Japanese medaka)
Lineage: Eukaryota; Metazoa; Chordata; Actinopteri; Beloniformes; Adrianichthyidae
Source: RefSeq, a predicted model, not a curated record
AGCCAGCAGAACUCAAUCUUUUGCUCAGAUCAGCAUGGAGGCAUUGUGGUGCUAACUGUCUGUGAUCUUCCAUUGUUGCUAAAUGGCCCAAAGAACAAUUGCCUGCAUUCCUGCACUGCUGGGCCAUGUAACUGUAUCUGCAGGACAGAGGUGUGACUGCAUGUGCAUGUGUUUAAAUAUGUCAGCUUUGUUUACUCACUCAAUGCAUUUUCCUUUGCAGAGUUUGUCUGUGGGUGGCCCGCAUGUCACUGAAGGUGAUCAUCACAGGUGAAGUGAUGUGGCUCCUAAAGGAACCAUUUUGAUUUCAUUUAUUUUCCACCUUCUCAUCAGUUAAACCCCACAGAAGAAUUGAGAGGUUAUUUUGGGAGAAUGACAGUUUAACUGACAAAAACAAGGGAAAAAUGCUCAGAGGAACUUAAAAAUUGAAGUCAUAGUCCAUAAAAGCUGCUAAUCAUUCCAAUGUUUUCUGUUAUCAAGAAUAAGUUUAAUAAAAAAAAGUCUAAAAUCAAAAUGACAACAGUCUAAAAAGGUAAACCUCAACUUUUAGCUGUUUGAAAUUGCGAACGUAAGUAUAGUUGCUACAGCUCAACCGUUUGGGAUUUAUUACUUAACAUCAUUAAUUUGAAAUGUGCCAUUUAAUCCAGGACUUCUGCAGAAAUUUAGAAUCAACUUGAAAAGAAAAGAAAAGAAAAAGAAUAUCUUUAAAAACUGGAACGAAUUCCAAGCGUGAAAGGGUUAAAAAAAAAUUUCUGGGCAUGUAAAUAGUACAAUGACAAUAAAGCUUUUUUUUGAUUCUAGAAGAGUUUUGUUAUAAAGAGUUUUCUAAAUUUACAAAGCAGCAAAUAUAUUCUUAAUCCCGUGUCACUUUAUUUAUUAUCCACUUUUAACAUGAUUUCCAGUUUUAAGAAACGGAUCAACAUGCAGACGAAACACUUCACCAAUUUAUAUAUUGACAAAGAAAGGUAUAAAGAUCAUAGAAUAAACUAAUUAUUACAAGAUAACGAAUCCAAUACUCAUACAUUUAAAAGAAUUUAAACCUUAAUGAUCCUGUUAACUAUUAAACUAAUGUGCAAAGUUCACAGUAAGCUGCUUACGGCCUAAAACCAAACGUUAGAUGUGGUCAGCAUAAAACUUACAGUCACAUUUAUAAAAGCCGAGAGGAAAAACGUACACAAAAAACCGGAGCUUUAACUCCAGUCUUGACAUUUUUUCAACUACCGUAACUCUUCAACCGUUGAUGCAUUUAAUGUAAUUUCAGCAAAAUCUGAAGCGGGGAAAAGCGGCUUUGGGCUGAUAUGCAGCAUUUCUCUUUUUUCCGGUGUUGCAUGGUUGUGCAAAGUUUAUAGGAAGAACUACUUUUCUCCGCGUCAAAAUCAGCCAAUUCAUGUUAAUCGUGUCAACAGUUGAAGAACAUUAACUAUUUGAAGACCUACUCCAAUAAAAAUAGUGUUUUUAACAUGUUGUAGCUUUUUUCUCAUGACGUAUAGGACAUAUUUGAUUUUUCUGAGUAUUUCUUUAUUCAAAUCGUGGUGAAUCAGGAGCAGAUGAAAAUAAAAGCUCCCAUUUGUGAUGCAGCAACUGAGAUGGGCGAGCCAAAGUCUCCCUACUCAUUGUCCUCGUCUGAGCUGGAAUCUGGCUGUGCAGCAGGAGAGCUGCUCCAUAUUUUUGUUGUGCUGCUAAUGUUGGGGUUGUGAGGGGAUAGAAGCUAGUGGGAGAGCAUGUAAACAACAGGAUGAUGGGAAAUCAGCAGAAGCUAACUUCUGCUCCAACCGUCCUGCCCUCAACUCUGAAACGAAUUUCUAAUGAACUUCUGCAGAAAAUAUGUCCUAGAAAACGGCACAGGUAUUUGAAUUUUGACAAAAAAUGCUUCAUCCUAAUUAAGAGACCACAAGGAACGCUUUAAAAAUAGAUCAAAAGAUGAUCAGAGUGGAACUUUAAAGUGUCGCCGGCUGUUGUUGAGGGAUUGAACAGAGAAUUAUGGCAUCCCUAGUAACUUUACCUUUGGUUUUUGACGUAUCUGUUCCAUUUUCUUACAUGUCUAUUUGAUUGAAUGGAUGUAAAAGAAGUUGCUCUUCAGGUUACAGCUCACACCUUUUACAUUAGUCACCGUUUACAUUGUCAGGUUUGUUUUCUGUCAUUUUCACGAGUGAACAAAAUCGAAACUGACAUUUGACUCAAACUGAGACAUCUUGAAAAUGUUAACUAAUUUGUCUCUCGUGUGAAACAGGUUGAUCUUGACUUCACAGUGAAUGAUGAAGGUUAUAUAAUUUUUCCAAAAGGGAAAGGAAACCGAAUAAAAAUUCUUAAAAGAGCAAAAUCUGUGAGUGGUCAAUAAAAAUUGGAGAUUGUCGCACUCCCUGACCCUCUUAUCCAACAUCCAUGAUAUGUUCUCUAACGCAGAGUCCUGUUCAUUAAAGCAUAUUACCAUGACGCCAUCCCUCUGAUAAUUGGCCCACAACACGUUUAGAGUCAUGACCCACUAUGGAGACAAUCAAAAAGGGCUUGCCCAGGAGAAAUGCUUCCUUUCCUUGAAGAAACAUCCCAAUUCUUGUUAUUUCGCCGAGAUUCUCUAACAAUCCCCUAUGAAUGAGAGGAUCUGUUUGCUCACACUCCCUCGCAGAGAGGUCAGAGGUCAAGCUCAGCCCCCAGAGCAAGCGCCAAGAUGGAGAAGAUUGAAUAUCAAGGUGCUAAUUGUCCCAAAGACUGUGAAAAUCACUUUUCACAAUAAAUCUCUUUCCCCAAAUACCUGCAGAACAUCACUAAUAAAACAGCCUGAGCGUUCACAUUCUUUUUGCUGCCCCUCAAUCUCGUGUCAUGAAGUCAAGAGAGAUGGGUUUGGAUGAAAUGUUUCCAAACCGAUUCAGCAAAGGAAAUGUUUGAGAAAAACGUUUUACAGGAAAAGCACCAGUUUACUAAAACAGCCAUCGGUUCAGCUGUCUUCAUUUGGAAACUUCCAUUGAUUGGCAUGUUGUUAACUACCUUGGAAACAAACUCAGACCUUAGAAAUGCCUGGAAUGAUUUGCACGUAAUAUAUGAAGCAAUUUAAGUCAUGCAACAUAAGAGGAAGCCAUAAACUGAGACCGAGUUAAAAGCAGCUUGGCAAUAAACAUUUGUUUUAAAUGUCAUGGCAAGCUAGGCGAGGCAGACCCAGGCGCUGGAACCCAGAAGGAAAACACAAGGUGAAGACGUUGGUGUGCCACGUGUUCCUCCAUCUGGUAUGAGUCCUCUGACACGCCUUCACUUCAUGUCUUCCUCAACAUAAAGAUUACCAACGGCGAAUACCUGUGCCAACAUUUUAAAGAUUCCUCUUUUGGACUCCUAUAGAGCCUGUAAAGCCAACAUGGACUUUGGAAUCAAUCAAGAAUUCCCCUGGCUUUGGGUGCUUUUAGACAAAUGAAUUUUUUUUUGUAAAAGUUAAUGUUGCCACACCCAGUUAUAUUUCAGGGCUACUAUAUUUGUUAUACUUUCUGUUACACUUUGAAAAACUGCAACAUUUUUUAUAUAAUACUUUCUGUAAUAAAAAAUACUGGACUACAGA